Molecule: long non-coding RNA, 126 nt
Organism: Mastomys coucha (southern multimammate mouse)
Lineage: Eukaryota; Metazoa; Chordata; Mammalia; Rodentia; Muridae
Exons: 3
Source: RefSeq, a predicted model, not a curated record
GUGGGAAGCCAGGGCUGCCAGGCUUGACUGCUCUAAGCCACCAACUUGAGCAGUGCGCUACAUAAGGAGCCCCAGCUCCUCACCAGCAAGUACCAGGGAUCCAACAGGUGAAGAAAAACUGACUCA